RNAcentral lists this ribosomal RNA (236 nucleotides) under uncultured bacterium. Its description in RNAcentral is "partial 16S ribosomal RNA". It matches the Rfam family "Bacterial small subunit ribosomal RNA", at positions 84 to 334 of the family's 1533-position model. The record is from RNAcentral.
CCAUGAGUAAAGUGGCGACCGGGUGAGUAACACGUGACUAACUUACCCUCGAGCGGGGGAUAACCCCGGGAAACCGGGGCUAAUACCGCAUAACAUCGAGAGAUCAAAGGAGCAAUCCGCUUGAGGAGAGGGUCGCGGCUGAUUAGCUAGUUGGUAGGGUAAUGGCCUACCAAGGCUGAGAUCGGUAGCCGGCCUGAGAGGGCGCACGGCCACACUGGAACUGAAACACGGUCCAG